This 612-nucleotide unclassified non-coding RNA is filed under the name Hevea brasiliensis (rubber tree). Lineage: Eukaryota; Viridiplantae; Streptophyta; Magnoliopsida; Malpighiales; Euphorbiaceae. The record is from RNAcentral.
CUAAAAACAACAUUAAUUACGUGUUUCCAAAUCAAGCUGAUAUUAAAAAUACCCAAGACACAAGGCUUAUAGGAGACGACAAGUACACAGCAGCAGUAUUACAAGUUACAGAGUUUCUCAAUCAAUUGCAAAGGAUUCAAAUGAAACUGGGACACACAGGUCCCUUGGAAAGCCCAAGGCGAACUUCCACGCCAUGAUGCAUGUCAACUGGACGAAAGCUCUCAGAUUCCUUAGGAUCAUUCAGGUAGUCCUCAAAAGCAAAGUCCUCUAGACCUCCGGUUAGGGAUUCUAACCCAAUCAUUGAAGAUGGUAUUGCCCCUGGUGGCCUCUGAAAUCUCGAAAGAAUUUGGCGAUCGAGCUCUAACUUCAUAGGGAAAGCCGACCCGUAGGUGUUUGCAAGUAUCUUCCUCUUCAUUUCGUAUUGCCUAGCCUUCGUAGAGUGAUAAGCAGACUCGAGAGGAUGAGAUCCGACGAUGUCGCUCUUAACACCAUGAAGCCCGAAUCGAAACGCAUCGUUUCUCACUCCUCCAAUUUCGUGUGCGAUCUUCUUUGAAUCUUCCAUUGCUCUUCUACGUCUUCUUCUUCUUCUUGCUCUGUAAGAGUAAUUCAAGG